GCUUCCCUCUGGCGGCGUGCCUAAUACAUGCAAGUCGAGCGAACAGAUGAGGAGCUUGCUCCUCUGACGUUAGCGGCGGACGGGUGAGUAACACGUGGAUAACCUACCUAUAAGACUGGGAUAACUUCGGGAAACCGGAGCUAAUACCGGAUAAUAUAUUGAACCGCAUGGUUCAAUAGUGAAAGACGGUUUUGCUGUCACUUAUAGAUGGAUCCGCGCCGCAUUAGCUAGUUGGUAAGGUAACGGCUUACCAAGGCAACGAUGCGUAGCCGACCUGAGAGGGUGAUCGGCCACACUGGAACUGAGACACGGUCCAGACUCCUACGGGAGGCAGCAGUAGGGAAUCUUCCGCAAUGGGCGAAAGCCUGACGGAGCAACGCCGCGUGAGUGAUGAAGGUCUUCGGAUCGUAAAACUCUGUUAUUAGGGAAGAACAAAUGUGUAAGUAACUAUGCACGUCUUGACGGUACCUAAUCAGAAAGCCACGGCUAACUACGUG
RNAcentral lists this ribosomal RNA (497 nucleotides) under uncultured bacterium. RNAcentral describes it as "partial 16S ribosomal RNA". It matches the Rfam family "Bacterial small subunit ribosomal RNA", at positions 36 to 507 of the family's 1533-position model. The record is from RNAcentral.